AUUGAACGCUGGCGGAAUGCUCUACACAUGCAAGUCGAACGGCAGCACGGACUUCGGUCUGGUGGCGAGUGGCGAACGGGUGAGUAAUGUAUCGGAACGUGCGCAGUCGUGGGGGAUAACGUAGUGAAAAUUACGCUAAUACCGCAUACGAUCUAUGGAUGGAAGCGGGGGAUAGCAAGAGCUCGCGCGAUUGGAGCGGCCGAUAUCAGAUUAGGUAGUUGGUGGGGUAAAGGCCCACCAAGCCAACGAUCUGUAGCUGGUCUGAGAGGACGACCAGCCACACUGGAACUGAGACACGGUCCAGACUCCUACGGGAGGCAGCAGUGGGGAAUUUUGGACAAUGGGCGAAAGCCUGAUCCAGCCAUUCCGCGUGCAGGAUGAAGGCCCUCGGGUUGUAAACUGCUUUUGUACAGAGCGAAAAGGUUUCUACUAAUACUAGGAGCUCAUGACGGUACUGUAAGAAUAAGCACCGGCUAACUACGUGCCAGCAGCCGCCGUAA
Molecule: ribosomal RNA, 500 nt
Filed under: uncultured bacterium
Lineage: Bacteria
Description: partial 16S ribosomal RNA
Rfam family: Bacterial small subunit ribosomal RNA
Source: RNAcentral